GGCAAACUCUGAGCUGUAACCAAUCUAGCUGUUUCUGUACCUCACUUCGCAUUCCUGUCCUUUUUUGUCUAUAAAUUUGUUCUGACCACGAGGCAUCCCUGGAGUCUCUCUGAAUCUGCUGUGAUUCUGGGGGCUGCCCGAUUCAUGAACUGUUCAUUGCUCAACUAAACUCCUUUAAAUUUAAUUCGGCUGAAGAUUUUCUUUUAUCAGGUGGUGUCAGAAGUGGGAUCUGAAGCGGAGGUUCCAGCAACUCCCAGGAGCACUGAAUGAACACACAAGCCAGAUGAAAAAAGGUAAAUUUCCUUUAUGAUGCUACUUGGCCCCCAGCAUGAUGGUGCAAGCUGGAUCACUGGGGCUGCUCAGGGAAAAGGAACCCAGAAGCCUGGCAUGCUG
RNAcentral lists this long non-coding RNA (393 nucleotides) under Homo sapiens (human). Its description in RNAcentral is "HSALNT0051237". The record is from RNAcentral. Lineage: Eukaryota; Metazoa; Chordata; Mammalia; Primates; Hominidae.